RNAcentral lists this ribosomal RNA (536 nucleotides) under Bifidobacterium breve. RNAcentral's name for it is "bacterial SSU rRNA". It matches the Rfam family "Bacterial small subunit ribosomal RNA", at positions 160 to 706 of the family's 1533-position model. The record is from RNAcentral. Lineage: Bacteria; Bacillati; Actinomycetota; Actinomycetes; Bifidobacteriales; Bifidobacteriaceae.
GUGGUAAUGCCGGAUGCUCCAUCACACCGCAUGGUGUGUUGGGAAAGCCUUUGCGGCAUGGGAUGGGGUCGCGUCCUAUCAGCUUGAUGGCGGGGUAACGGCCCACCAUGGCUUCGACGGGUAGCCGGCCUGAGAGGGCGACCGGCCACAUUGGGACUGAGAUACGGCCCAGACUCCUACGGGAGGCAGCAGUGGGGAAUAUUGCACAAUGGGCGCAAGCCUGAUGCAGCGACGCCGCGUGAGGGAUGGAGGCCUUCGGGUUGUAAACCUCUUUUGUUAGGGAGCAAGGCAUUUUGUGUUGAGUGUACCUUUCGAAUAAGCACCGGCUAACUACGUGCCAGCAGCCGCGGUAAUACGUAGGGUGCAAGCGUUAUCCGGAAUUAUUGGGCGUAAAGGGCUCGUAGGCGGUUCGUCGCGUCCGGUGUGAAAGUCCAUCGCUUAACGGUGGAUCCGCGCCGGGUACGGGCGGGCUUGAGUGCGGUAGGGGAGACUGGAAUUCCCGGUGUAACGGUGGAAUGUGUAGAUAUCGGAAAGAA